RNAcentral lists this ribosomal RNA (500 nucleotides) under uncultured bacterium. RNAcentral describes it as "bacterial SSU rRNA". It matches the Rfam family "Bacterial small subunit ribosomal RNA", at positions 95 to 606 of the family's 1533-position model. The record is from RNAcentral.
GCGGCGAACGGGUGAGUAACGCGUGGGUAACCUACCUUAUACAGGGGGAUAACACCGGGAAACCGGUGCUAAUACCGCAUAACACAUGAAGGUGGCAUCACCUUUAUGUCAAAGGAGUAACAUCCGGUAUAAGAUGGGCCCGCGUCCAAUUAGCUAGUUGGUGAGGUAACGGCUCACCAAGGCGACGAUUGGUAGCCGAGCUGAGAGGUUGAUCGGCCACAUUGGGACUGAGACACGGCCCAGACUCCUACGGGAGGCAGCAGUGGGGAAUAUUGCACAAUGGGGGAAACCCUGAUGCAGCGACGCCGCGUGAAGGAAGAAGGUCUUCGGAUCGUAAACUUCUUUGAUUGGGGAAGAAGUAAGUGACGGUACCCAAGGAACAAGCCACGGCUAACUACGUGCCAGCAGCCGCGGUAAAACGUAGGUGGCGAGCGUUGUCCGGAAUUACUGGGUGUAAAGGGCGCGUAGGCGGGGGAGCAAGUCAGGUGUGAAAUACCACG